RNAcentral lists this transfer RNA (65 nucleotides) under Dipodomys ordii (Ord's kangaroo rat). It matches the Rfam family "tRNA". Rfam says of the family: Transfer RNA (tRNA) molecules are approximately 80 nucleotides in length. Their secondary structure includes four short double-helical elements and three loops (D, anti-codon, and T loops). Lineage: Eukaryota; Metazoa; Chordata; Mammalia; Rodentia; Heteromyidae. The record is from Rfam by way of RNAcentral.
GGUGGCUCAGUGGUGGAGUGCUUGUCUUGCAUACAUGAGGCCCUGAGUUCUAUUCCUCAGCACCA